This 169-nucleotide ribosomal RNA is filed under the name uncultured Trebouxia photobiont. RNAcentral describes it as "5.8S ribosomal RNA". It matches the Rfam family "5.8S ribosomal RNA". Rfam says of the family: 5.8S ribosomal RNA (5.8S rRNA) is a component of the large subunit of the eukaryotic ribosome. It is transcribed by RNA polymerase I as part of the 45S precursor that also contains 18S and 28S rRNA. Functionally, it is thought that 5.8S rRNA may be involved in ribosome translocation. Lineage: Eukaryota; Viridiplantae; Chlorophyta; Trebouxiophyceae; Trebouxiales; Trebouxiaceae. The record is from RNAcentral.
CAACUCUCAACAACGGAUAUCUUGGCUCCCGUAACGAUGAAGAACGCAGCGAAAUGCGAUACGUAGUGUGAAUUGCAGAAUUCCGUGAACCAUCGAAUCUUUGAACGCAAAUUGCGCUCGAGGCUUCGGCCAAGAGCAUGUCUGCCUCAGCGUCGGCUACUACCCUCAA